This 369-nucleotide small nucleolar RNA is filed under the name Dipodomys ordii (Ord's kangaroo rat). RNAcentral describes it as "Small Cajal body-specific RNA 2". It matches the Rfam family "Small Cajal body-specific RNA 2". Lineage: Eukaryota; Metazoa; Chordata; Mammalia; Rodentia; Heteromyidae. The record is from Rfam by way of RNAcentral.
GUGGCUGGGCUGGUGUGCGUUUGUGUGUAUAUGUGUGUGAGAGUGGUUGUGCGUGGAAGGUGCGUGCGUGCCGAGUGUGAGUGGACGCGUGGGAGCGCGCGUGCGCCCGCCCCUCUCCCCGCGCCUACACCUUGAUCUUAUUUGAUCGGGCCGCGCCCUCCGCCCCGCCGGGCCGCCCCGAGAUGAAAAGGCCCCCCUUCCGCGAAGCCCCCUCCGGGCGGGCGCUGUGCGGCAGGCCUCGGGGCGGGGCGGCGCCGCGGCUCGGGCCGCCUGGGCCUUCGGGCGCGGCGCUCAGAAGUGAUGAAUUGAUCAGAUAGACGAGGCCGGGCCUGGCCCGCGCCGCUGAUUACCGAUGCGAUUCUGAUCUGA